RNAcentral lists this ribosomal RNA (253 nucleotides) under uncultured bacterium. RNAcentral describes it as "partial 16S ribosomal RNA". It matches the Rfam family "Bacterial small subunit ribosomal RNA", at positions 524 to 776 of the family's 1533-position model. The record is from RNAcentral.
UACGGAGGGUGCAAGCGUUGUCCGGAUUUAUUGGGUUUAAAGGGCGCGUAGGCGGCCUUCUAAGUCGAACGUGAAAUCCCCGGGCUCAACCCGGGAACUGCGUCCGAUACUGGAAGGCUUGAAUCCGGGAGAGGGAUGCGGAAUUCCAGGUGUAGCGGUGAAAUGCGUAGAUAUCUGGAGGAACACCGGUGGCGAAGGCGGCAUCCUGGACCGGUAUUGACGCUGAGGCGCGAAAGCCAGGGGAGCAAACGGG